RNAcentral lists this ribosomal RNA (272 nucleotides) under Salmonella enterica subsp. enterica. RNAcentral describes it as "partial 23S ribosomal RNA". It matches the Rfam family "Bacterial large subunit ribosomal RNA", at positions 1 to 273 of the family's 2925-position model. The record is from RNAcentral. Lineage: Bacteria; Pseudomonadati; Pseudomonadota; Gammaproteobacteria; Enterobacterales; Enterobacteriaceae.
GGUUAAGCGACUAAGCGUACACGGUGGAUGCCCUGGCAGUCAGAGGCGAUGAAGGGCGUGCUAAUCUGCGAUAAGCGCCGGUAAGGUGAUAUGAACCGUUAUAACCGGCGAUACCCGAAUGGGGAAACCCAGUGUGAUUCGUCACACUAUCAUUAACUGAAUCCAUAGGUUAAUGAGGCGAACCGGGGGAACUGAAACAUCUAAGUACCCCGAGGAAAAGAAAUCAACCGAGAUUCCCCCAGUAGCGGCGAGCGAACGGGGAGGAGCCCAGA